CCCUAGGAACAGACCAUAGACACUAUGUUGGUACUUUCAAGAAUAUAAAUACUAUAUUUCCAAAAACCAAGUCAUCCUAUUGAUCUGUCUACAAAUUAUGUGUGACACUGUGAGAAAGAAGAGAGUAGGCUCCAUUUCCAAUGCAGAGCCCCAGACAAGACUUGAACUUACGACUCUGAGAGCAAGAGCUGGGCUGAGACCAAUAGCUGGACACUUAACUGACUGAGCCACUCAGGUAUUGAGCCACACUUGCAGCCCAGGAAUAAAUCCCACAUGG
Molecule: long non-coding RNA, 277 nt
Organism: Mustela erminea (ermine)
Lineage: Eukaryota; Metazoa; Chordata; Mammalia; Carnivora; Mustelidae
Exons: 3
Source: RefSeq, a predicted model, not a curated record